CGAGUGCUGACAGGGGUGCCUGGUGAUCGGACUGCUCAAAGUGGUAGGUGCGGAAGAACGGCGCAGCUUCGUCUGAAAGUUCUUCAGCGGCACCUUACAGCCUAAGCCCCUGCCUAUGACCCAGGAAGCCCACUCAAGGCAGAGGAGAGCCCUGCAAUACAUCCAAGCAGAGAUACAGAAAGAAAGAAGGUGGAGUCAGAGAGAUAUCAGCAACCACCAGAGAAGCAAGAUUUGAGAAUUGAACGGCACUACAAGAAUGAUUUCUCGAAAGACAGAUUUGCCCUAUUCCGUGCACCAAUGCUGCUGAGCUAAAUGAACUUGGGUAAGGGAAAGAGGCGGAUGAAUGGUCUUAAAGUGACCAGCGAGCUUGCUUCAGAUUCCGCUUGAAAGAGGCUAGUAACCUGCAGUUCUUUCCCAGAAGGCUCCAAAGAGACCACAGCCUCCUCCAUUUCCCACCUCUGGAUCCACUGGGCAGAGGACGUCAAAACUAUGUGGCUAUCAGAGACACCGCUGUUCUCAGGUGGGCAGGAGACUUGAUCCUGAGCCGACUUAUGCCGAGAGACACAUGGGACUGCCCCCAGAGCUCUGUUGAUGUUCCAGGCACUGGAAGAAAUCAAAGCCACCUGACAUAAAGCAAACUUCACUGCCUCUUCACAGAGAUAAAGGGAAAACUUACAAAAGGAGAGAUUUGCAGACAACCAACAGGAAUUGAAAAAAGUCGUGACUGUGACAUCUGCUGGGAAGCCACCAGGAAGUGAAGAGCUACAGCCCACGUCAAAUCUUAUGCAUCUGAAGAAUGUGAAACUUCCUUCCUUCCUUCCUCAUCCCCAGAUGGCUUAGAAACAAAACAGCGUGCCUUUUGUAGGAAACAAAAAAGCCUAAGAAGAAAUGUUAAUAGGAUGACUGCAAAGAUUAUAAAUACUUCUCAGCUAUAUAAAUAUGAACUGAGUGAAUAAAACAUGUUAAAUUC
Long non-coding RNA from Myodes glareolus (Bank vole), 970 nucleotides. RefSeq lists it as uncharacterized. NCBI's taxonomy places the organism in Eukaryota, Metazoa, Chordata, Mammalia, Rodentia, Cricetidae. The record is from RefSeq and is a predicted model, not a curated record.